UCCAGCUAUGGUGAUAUGGUCCCGAGCACCAUUGCAGGGAAGAUCUUCGGUUCCAUCUGCUCUCUGAGUGGGGUGCUGGUCAUCGCCCUCCCUGUACCUGUCAUCGUCUCCAAC
Non-coding RNA from Podarcis lilfordi (Lilford's wall lizard), 114 nucleotides. The record is from the annotation of a GenBank genome assembly. NCBI's taxonomy places the organism in Eukaryota, Metazoa, Chordata, Lepidosauria, Squamata, Lacertidae.